RNAcentral lists this ribosomal RNA (270 nucleotides) under uncultured bacterium. RNAcentral's name for it is "partial 16S ribosomal RNA". It matches the Rfam family "Bacterial small subunit ribosomal RNA", at positions 501 to 770 of the family's 1533-position model. The record is from RNAcentral.
CUACGUGCCAGCAGCCGCGGUAAUACGUAUGGGGCAAGCGUUAUCCGGAUUUACUGGGUGUAAAGGGAGCGUAGACGGAUAGGCAAGUCUGGUGUGAAAGCCCGGGGCUCAACCCCGGGCCUGCUUUGGAAACUGUUUAUCUUGAGUGCUGGAGAGGUAAGUGGAAUUCCUAGUGUAGCGGUGAAAUGCGUAGAUAUUAGGAGGAACACCAGUGGCGAAGGCGGCUUACUGGACAGUAACUGACGUUGAGGCUCGAAAGCGUGGGGAGCA